RNAcentral lists this long non-coding RNA (780 nucleotides) under Equus caballus (horse). RNAcentral's name for it is "lncRNA (ENSECAG00000051131.1)". The record is from RNAcentral. Lineage: Eukaryota; Metazoa; Chordata; Mammalia; Perissodactyla; Equidae.
CUGUCUGUUUUUUAAACAACAGAGCUACCAUAUCCAAAAGCAUGGAGAGCAGAGAGGAAGAAGUAGCUACCAGCUCUGUCUGGAGAAGGCUGGUGGCCCAGAAAAGUUACACAAAGUCACCUCAGCACACGGCGAGGACGAUGGGCCUGGAUGAAUGCUCAUUCCUCUCAGAGCAGUGCCAGAAUGUUGGCGGUGAAUACAAGGACGAGGUGCUCCAGACGCAGGGGUGAUGACAAGACGGUUUCCAUGGGAGCUGCCUGCAACACUGCAGAGAGACCCAGCAGGCCGCGGGAAACGUAGUUUGGAUGCUCAAAGGGUAAACAGAUUUGGGAGUCAGAUGUGCUAAGGUGAGAGUAAAACUAUGGAAGUAGGAGAGGUCAUCCAGAGAGUGUGUGCAAAGUGAGCCGAGGGGAAAGCUGAUGAGAGCACCGUGGGGAAUGCCACAUGGAAGGGCCAGGGGGAACCUGGAAUUCUUGGGGAGUUUCUAGUGAUUUGAUCCAUAAAUCACAGAAUCAAUUUUAUCUAAUACUGUAUGAUGAGGAUUUUAGGCUGGUUAAUUUUAAAACUGCAGAGGAGAAGCAGGCUCCGAGGACUGGAAUUUGCUUGCCCUUGGAGAGACAUUUGCAUUUAUGAAGGAAAUCUCCAUGCGUCCCCCUCUGCACCAGGAAGAAGGGAGAUGACCUUGUCUCUAGAAACUCUUAAUGGGGAAGGCAAGAACUUGGGUUGGUUGCUGUCUGGCAAUCUCACGUAACUGAUUUAGGGUGGUGGCUUCUGACCUUU